Molecule: non-coding RNA, 844 nt
Filed under: Drosophila virilis
Lineage: Eukaryota; Metazoa; Arthropoda; Insecta; Diptera; Drosophilidae
Description: Eukaryotic large subunit ribosomal RNA
Rfam family: Eukaryotic large subunit ribosomal RNA
Source: Rfam by way of RNAcentral
CAACCUCAACUCAUAUGGGACUACCCCCUGAAUUUAAGCAUAUUAAUUAAGGGAGGAAAAGAAACUAACAAGGAUUUUCUUAGUAGCGGCGAGCGAAAAGAAAUCAGUUCAGCACUAAGUCACUUUGUCUAUAUGGCAAAUGUGAGAUGCAGUGUACGGAACAUCAACAUUCUAGUAUGAGAAGUUAACGAUUUAAGUCCUUCUUAAAUGAGGCCAUUUACCCAUAGAGGGUGCCAGGCCCGUAUAACGUUAAUGAUUACUAGAUGGUGUUUCCAAAGAGUCGUGUUGCUUGAUAGUGCAGCACUAAGUGGGUGGUAAACUCCAUCUAAAACUAAAUAUAACCAUGAGACCGAUAGUAAACAAGUACCGUGAGGGAAAGUUGAAAAGAACUCUGAAUAGAGAGUUAAAUAGUACGUGAAACUGCUUAGAGGUUAAGCCCGAUGAACCUGAAUAUCCGUUAUGGAAAAUUCAUCAUUAGAAUUGUAAUAUUUUAAACAAUAUUAUAAUAAUAGUGUGCAUUUUUUCCAUAUAAGGACAUUGUAAUCUAUUAGCAUAAAUAUUUAUCAUAAAAUUAUGUCUGAUUGCUUAUUUGAAUUAUAUGCUUGGCAUUUUAACAUAAAAUAAAAGAUAUAAAUUUGAUAAAGUGCUGAUAGAUUUAUAUGAUUACAGUGCGUUAAUUUUUCGGAAUUAUAUAAUGGCAUAAUUAUCAUUGAUAUUUGUGUUUAUUAUAUGCAUUUGUAUGAUUAACAAUGCGAAAGAUUCAGAUACCUUUCGGGACCCGUCUUGAAACACGGGACCAAGGAGUCUAACAUAUGUGCAAGUUAUUGGGAUAUAAACCUAAUAG